Molecule: long non-coding RNA, 592 nt
Organism: Uloborus diversus
Lineage: Eukaryota; Metazoa; Arthropoda; Arachnida; Araneae; Uloboridae
Exons: 3
Source: RefSeq, a predicted model, not a curated record
AUUCAAGGUUGUCACAACGGCCAUGUAUGACCACAAGGAUUUUAUCUGACUAAAAAAAGAGUACUGAAAACUGAUGCUGUGUCAACUUUUUCUUUCUUUUUGUGCAAGCCAUCUUGUAAGAAGGAGGAAUACAAAUUUUAUGCCUCGAGCUGCUGAAGCAUAGCAAAGGACAAAGUGUGCUAACUCAAUGAAGGCUUGCAUCCAUGAAUAUUUUUGAGAACCAGUCAAUUCAAGUAAAUAUUUUUCUUUUGGACAUUUAAGUAUCACACUAGAGUUUCCUGCUGCAUUUUCAGAUGGAUGAACAUUUAUAAAUGGAGAAAUGUUCCAAUUCUUACACCUUCAUUGGAUACAUACCUGGUAUAAAAUUUUCCCAUUAGUUAGAACUAUCUAACAACUCUUGUAAAUGAUUAUUACACCAUCAAUUCUUAAUGACAUUUUAAAAAUAGUAGCAAAUAGCUUUUCUUUUCUGUGAUGGAAAUAUACCUCCUGGGGAACCCGCCUUGCUUCUGCAAAAAGGGGUAAUGCGCUUAUUGCAUCAUACCUCCAAAGUGGCAUCCACACUAGAGUGCUUUUGAUCUUAGGUCAUGUUCAG